Molecule: transfer RNA, 75 nt
Filed under: Chloroflexota bacterium
Lineage: Bacteria; Bacillati; Chloroflexota
Also listed under: 1 other name
Description: Chloroflexi bacterium tRNA-Thr
Rfam family: tRNA
About the family: Transfer RNA (tRNA) molecules are approximately 80 nucleotides in length. Their secondary structure includes four short double-helical elements and three loops (D, anti-codon, and T loops).
Source: RNAcentral
GCCAACGUAGCUCAGUGGUAGAGCAGCGGUUUUGUAAACCGCAGGUCGUCGGUUCAAUCCCGACCGUUGGCUCCA